AGAGUUUGAUCCUGGCUCAGGACGAACGCUGGCGGCGUGCCUAAUACAUGCAAGUCGAGCGGAGUUUUGAAAAGCUUGCUUUUCAAAACUUAGCGGCGGACGGGUGAGUAACACGUGGGCAACCUGCCCUUGAGACGGGGAUAACUCCGGGAAACCGGAGCUAAUACCGGAUAACACAUAUCUUCGCAUGAGGAUAUGUUAGAAGGUGGCUUUUAGCUACCACUCAAGGAUGGGCCCGCGGCGCAUUAGCUAGUUGGUGAGGUAACGGCUCACCAAGGCGACGAUGCGUAGCCGACCUGAGAGGGUGAUCGGCCACACUGGGACUGAGACACGGCCCAGACUCCUACGGGAGGCAGCAGUAGGGAAUCUUCCGCAAUGGACGAAAGUCUGACGGAGCAACGCCGCGUGAGUGAUGAAGGUUUUCGGAUCGUAAAGCUCUGUUGUUAGGGAAGAACAAGUACCUAUUAAAUAAGCAGGUACCUUGACGGUACCUAACCAGAAAGCCACGGCUAACUACGUGCCAGCAGCCGCGGUAAUACGUAGGUGGCAAGCGUUGUCCGGAAUUAUUGGGCGUAAAGCGCGCGCAGGCGGUUCCUUAAGUCUGAUGUGAAAGCCCACGGCUCAACCGUGGAGGGUCAUUGGAAACUGGGGAACUUGAGUGCAGAAGAGGAGAGCGGAAUUCCACGUGUAGCGGUGAAAUGCGUAGAGAUGUGGAGGAACACCAGUGGCGAAGGCGGCUCUCUGGUCUGUAACUGACGCUGAGGCGCGAAAGCGUGGGGAGCGAACAGGAUUAGAUACCCUAGUAGUCC
RNAcentral lists this ribosomal RNA (809 nucleotides) under uncultured bacterium. RNAcentral's name for it is "bacterial SSU rRNA". It matches the Rfam family "Bacterial small subunit ribosomal RNA", at positions 8 to 796 of the family's 1533-position model. The record is from RNAcentral.